This 492-nucleotide ribosomal RNA is filed under the name uncultured bacterium. RNAcentral describes it as "partial 16S ribosomal RNA". It matches the Rfam family "Bacterial small subunit ribosomal RNA", at positions 28 to 507 of the family's 1533-position model. The record is from RNAcentral.
GAUGAACGCUAGCUACAGGCUUAACGCGUGCAAGUCGAGGGGAAACGACAUCGAAAGCUUGCUUUUGAUGGGCGUCGACCGGCGCACGGGUGAGUAACGCGUAUCCAACCUGCCCACCACUUGGGGAUAACCUUGCGAAAGUAAGACUAAUACCCAAUGAUAUCCCACGAAGACAUCUGAAUGGGAUUAAAGAUUUAUCGGUGAUGGAUGGGGAUGCGUCUGAUUAGCUUGUUGGCGGGGUAACGGCCCACCAAGGCAACGAUCAGUAGGGGUUCUGAGAGGAAGGUCCCCCACAUUGGAACUGAGACACGGUCCAAACUCCUACGGGAGGCAGCAGUGAGGAAUAUUGGUCAAUGGGCGAGAGCCUGAACCAGCCAAGUAGCGUGCAGGAAGACGGCCCUAUGGGUUGUAAACUGCUUUUAUAAGGGAAUAAAGUGGGUCACGUGUGACUUUUUGCAUGUACCUUAUGAAUAAGGACCGGCUAAUUCCGUG